RNAcentral lists this unclassified non-coding RNA (100 nucleotides) under Trypanosomatidae sp. 34EC-A. The record is from RNAcentral. Lineage: Eukaryota; Euglenozoa; Kinetoplastea; Trypanosomatida; Trypanosomatidae.
AACUAACGCUAUAUAAGUAUACAGUUUCUGUAGUUUAUUGGUAUGAGAAGCUUCCGGAACCAGUAUUCCGGCAAAAUUUUGGGGUAGGGCGGAGCCCUAC